This 372-nucleotide ribosomal RNA is filed under the name uncultured organism. RNAcentral's name for it is "partial 16S ribosomal RNA". It matches the Rfam family "Bacterial small subunit ribosomal RNA", at positions 527 to 896 of the family's 1533-position model. The record is from RNAcentral.
GAGGGGUGCGAGCGUUAUUCGGAUUUAUUGGGCGUAAAGGGUGCGUAGACGGCAAACUAAGUCUGUUGUUAAAUUUUCCGGCUUAACCGGAAGUCAGCGGUGGAAACUGGUUUGCUAGAGGAUGGAAGAGAGAAGUGGAAUUCCCGGAGUAGCGGUAAAAUGCGUAGAUCUCGGGAGGAACACCAAUGGCGAAGGCAGCUUCUUGGUCCAUUCCUGACGUUAAGGCACGAAAGCGUGGGUAGCAAACAGGAUUAGAUACCCUGGUAGUCCACGCCGUAAACGAUGAUCACUAGAUGUUGGUUCGGCUUAGCUGGAUCAGUAUCGUAGCUAACGCGUUAAGUGAUUCGCCUGGGGACUACGGUCGCAAGACUA